Molecule: ribosomal RNA, 450 nt
Filed under: uncultured bacterium
Lineage: Bacteria
Description: partial 16S ribosomal RNA
Rfam family: Bacterial small subunit ribosomal RNA
Source: RNAcentral
GUGGGGAAUAUUGGACAAUGGGCGAAAGCCUGAUCCAGCCAUGCCGCGUGUGUGAAGAAGGUCUUCGGAUUGUAAAGCACUUUAAGUUGGGAGGAAGGGCAGUAAGUUAAUACCUUGCUGUUUUGACGUUACCAACAGAAUAAGCACCGGCUAACUUCGUGCCAGCAGCCGCGGUAAUACGAAGGGUGCAAGCGUUAAUCGGAAUCACUGGGCGUAAAGCGUGCGUAGGCGGUUUUGUAAGUUAGGAGUGAAAGCCCAGGGCUCAACCUUGGAAUUGCUCUUAAAACUGCAAGGCUCGAAUCUCGGAGAGGAUAGCGGAAUUUCCAGUGUAGCAGUGAAAUGCGUAGAUAUUGGAAGGAACACCAGUGGCGUAAGCGGCUAUCUGGACGAGUAUUGACGCUGAGGCACGAAAGCGUGGGGAUCAAACAGGAUUAGAUACCCUUGUAGUCC